Molecule: ribosomal RNA, 550 nt
Filed under: Hygophum hygomii
Lineage: Eukaryota; Metazoa; Chordata; Actinopteri; Myctophiformes; Myctophidae
Description: partial 16S ribosomal RNA
Rfam family: Bacterial large subunit ribosomal RNA
Source: RNAcentral
AUAAGAGGUCCCGCCUGCCCAGUGAUAAUGUUAAACGGCCGCGGUAUUUUGACCGUGCAAAGGUAGCACAAUAAAUUGUCUUUUAAUUGGAGAAUGGUAUAAAUGGCAUCACGAGGGCUUAACUGUCUCCCCUCUAAAGUCAAUGAAAUUGAUCUCCCCGUGCAGAAGCGGGGAUGCACUCGUAAGACGAGAAGACCCUAUGGAGCUUUAGACAUAAACCAGCCCACGUUAAACACACCCCCAUAAGGGAUAUAAACAAAAUGGCCCCUGACGGUAUGUCUUCGGUUGGGGCGACCACGGAGAAAAACAAAACCUCCACAUGGACUGGGGCCACCUAGCCCUAAAGCACAGACCCGCAGGUCGAAUCAACAGUACAUCUGACCACAAAAGAGCCGGCACAAGCCGAUCACUGGACCAAGUUACCCUAGGGAUAACAGCGCAAUCCUCUCAAAGAGACCAUAUCAACGAGGGGGUUUACGACCUCGAUGUUGGAUCAGGACAUCCUAAUGGUGCAGCCCCUAUUAAGGGUUCGUUUGUUCAACGAUUAAUC